This 448-nucleotide long non-coding RNA is filed under the name Helianthus annuus (common sunflower). Lineage: Eukaryota; Viridiplantae; Streptophyta; Magnoliopsida; Asterales; Asteraceae. The record is from RNAcentral.
UAUAUUUCGAACACACAUGUAUUAAAUCCCCCAUCCUUGGGAAGGAAAAUGAUUACCAAGUAUAUACAGAAUGUAAACACGAAAUAGUUGUCUAACUAUUUCCAAAAACUUUAAACCAUAAAACUAAGGCACGGCCGUCCGUCUAAUAGAGUUAGUACGUGUAGGUCGUCGCACAGCUGCUUGAGCAGGAGAUAUACUUGGUAGAGACGCACCACUGUGAGUUCAUGACCCCCUUUUCUCUUAACUUUGUGAGUUCAUGCUCCCCCUUUUCUCUUAACUGUUUUCAGUUUUAUAACUUCGGGGGUGAAAUACAUGUUACAGAUAUUUUUAUGUUUAACAAAUGGUAUGAUAAUAAAAAGCACACUUGGUGAGAACGAGUACCAAGUGUGUAGCGAUAUAAGAAUACAAGAAGCGCACUUGGUGAGAACGAGUACCAAGUGUGUUGUGA